GAAAGGGCGCGUGCAGACCGCGCUGGGCGACCGGCACAGCAGCAGCAGAACCGGCUGCAGAAUCAGAGCGGAGCGGGAGGAGAGCAGGAGCGGAGCGGGAGCAGAGCAGGAACAGAGCGCGACCGCCGAUCCCCGCUUCAGUGGAUCGUCCGGGGCAGGGACAGAGCCUCCAGGACCCUCCGCCCGCGCCGGGCAGAGCUGCCCAUGAAGCCGCCCGCCGCGCAGGGCAGCCCCGCGGCCGCCGCCGCCGCAGCGCCGGCCCUGGACUCGGCGGCCGCCGGCGACCUAACGGACGCGCUGUGCGAGUUCGACGCGGUGCUGGCGGACUUCGCGUCGCCCUGCCACGCGCGCCACUUCCACUACGAGGAGCACCUGCAGCGCAUGAAGCGGCGGAGCAGCGCCAGCGUCAGCGACAGCAGCGGCUUCAGCGACUCCGAGAGUGCAGAUUCAUUAUAUAGGAACAGCUUCAGCUUCAGCGACGAAAAACUGAAUUCUCCAACAGACUCCACCCCGGCUCUGCUCUCUCCCGCCAUCACUCCUCGGAAAGCCAAACUAGGAGACACGAAAGAGCUAGAAGACUUUAUUGCUGAUCUUGACAGAACAUUAGCAACUCAGUUGCAUUAGACUCAUGUAACAAGCCUGUCUACUUCAUGGAAACUGCAGCAGGCUGACCAGUCAUACCAGUUAAUCAGACAGACAUUGUGUGGGAAACCUGACAUUAAGUAUGUGAGAAAAGGAGAAGUUCUGGGUCCUUUCAUCAUAGGGGGAAAGCUUCAGAAAGCUCCGAGGACCUGGUAAAAUCAGCUGCAGAAUUUGCUGCCAGAAGGAAUAGAGAUGAGCACACGCCCACCACCAGGCCAUUCCCAGCUGGUCCUAAAACUAGCCUUUGGGCUCAUCCUUGAGCAAUUCCAACAGUGAAACUGACUUUGUUUACCUGCUUGCAGCAUAUUAGAGCAGACCACCCAUGCUAAUAUCGUAUUUCUCUUAAAAGACAGCUUUCAUGUAAUUUAAAGUGCUUUUAUGAAAAUAUUUGUAAUUAAUUAUAUAUAGUUGGAAACAGUGAUAUGCUUUCCUCAUUAUAAUAUAUUUUUGUAUGCAAAUAAAAUUUGAACUGGA
Molecule: RNA transcript, 1116 nt
Organism: Pipistrellus kuhlii (Kuhl's pipistrelle)
Lineage: Eukaryota; Metazoa; Chordata; Mammalia; Chiroptera; Vespertilionidae
Gene: RGCC
Gene name: regulator of cell cycle
Exons: 6
Source: RefSeq, a predicted model, not a curated record